GACAGAAUUCUUCGGAAGGAAGUUGAUUAAGUUUAGUGGCGGACGGGUGAGUAACGCGUGAGUAACCUGCCUUUGAGAGGGGAAUAACUUCCCGAAAGGGAUGCUAAUACCGCAUGACGCAUAUUUAUCGCAUGGUAGAUAUGCCAAAGAUUUAUCGCUCAAAGAUGGACUCGCGUCCGAUUAGCCAGUUGGCGGGGUAACGGCCCACCGAAGCGACGAUCGGUAGCCGGACUGAGAGGUUGAACGGCCACAUUGGGACUGAGACACGGCCCAGACUCCUACGGGAGGCAGCAGUGGGGGAUAUUGCGCAAUGGGGGAAACCCUGACGCAGCAACGCCGCGUGAAGGAUGAAGGUUUUCGGAUUGUAAACUUCUUUUAUUUAGGACGAAUUAUGACGGUACUAAAUGAAUAAGCUCCGGCUAACUACGUGCCAGCAGCCGCGGUAAUACGUAGGGAGCAAGCGUUAUCCGGAUUUACUGGGUGUAAAGGGUGCGUAGGCGGCUUGGUAAGUCAGAUGUGAAAUGUAUGGGCUCAACCCAUGCACUGCAUUUGAAACUAUUGAGCUUGAGUGAAGUAGAGGUAGGCGGAAUUCCCUGUGUAGCGGUGAAAUGCGUAGAGAUAGGGAGGAACACCAGUGGCGAAGGCGGCCUACUGGGCUUUAACUGACGCUGAGGCACGAAAGCGUGGGUAGCAAACAGGAUUAGAUACCCUGGUAGUCCACGCUGUAAACGAUGAUUACUAGGUGUGGGGGGUCUGACCCCUUCCGUGCCGGAGUUAACACA
This 782-nucleotide ribosomal RNA is filed under the name uncultured bacterium. RNAcentral describes it as "bacterial SSU rRNA". It matches the Rfam family "Bacterial small subunit ribosomal RNA", at positions 65 to 859 of the family's 1533-position model. The record is from RNAcentral.